UGGCCGUUGGUGCAGUAGUGAGCGUUGUUGCCUCUCACCCCAGUUGGCCUAGGUUCGAUCCCAGAUGGUCAC
This 72-nucleotide transfer RNA is filed under the name Culex quinquefasciatus (southern house mosquito). RNAcentral's name for it is "tRNA-Glu". Lineage: Eukaryota; Metazoa; Arthropoda; Insecta; Diptera; Culicidae. The record is from RNAcentral.